UACGUAAGUCCCGAGCGUUACUCGGAAUUACUGGGUGUAAAGGGUGUGUAGGUGGAAAGUUAAGUCGGAUAUGAAAGACCGGGGCUCAACCUCGUGUUAGUAUUCGAUACUGGCUAUCUAGAGUUAGGAAGAGGUAAGCGGAAUUCUAAGUGUAGGGGUGUAAUCCGUAGAUACUUAGAAGAACACCAAAAGCGAAGGCAGCUUACUGGUACUAUACUGACACUGAGACACGAAAGCGUGGGUAGCGAAAAGG
Molecule: ribosomal RNA, 253 nt
Filed under: uncultured bacterium
Lineage: Bacteria
Description: partial 16S ribosomal RNA
Rfam family: Bacterial small subunit ribosomal RNA
Source: RNAcentral